UACGUAGGGUGCGAGCGUUAAUCGGAAUUACUGGGCGUAAAGCGUGCGCAGGCGGUUUUGUAAGUCAGAUGUGAAAUCCCCGGGCUCAACCUGGGAACUGCGUUUGAAACUACAAGGCUAGAGUGUAGCAGAGGGGGGUAGAAUUCCGCGUGUAGCAGUGAAAUGCGUAGAGUAUGCGGAGGAACACGAGUGGAGCACGAA
RNAcentral lists this ribosomal RNA (201 nucleotides) under uncultured bacterium. RNAcentral describes it as "partial 16S ribosomal RNA". It matches the Rfam family "Bacterial small subunit ribosomal RNA", at positions 524 to 719 of the family's 1533-position model. The record is from RNAcentral.